RNAcentral lists this ribosomal RNA (483 nucleotides) under uncultured bacterium. RNAcentral's name for it is "partial 16S ribosomal RNA". It matches the Rfam family "Bacterial small subunit ribosomal RNA", at positions 30 to 507 of the family's 1533-position model. The record is from RNAcentral.
AUUGAACGCUGGCGGCAGGCCUAACACAUGCAAGUCGAGCGGAUGAAGGGAGCUUGCUCCUGGAUUCAGCGGCGGACGGGUGAGUAAUGCCUAGGAAUCUGCCUGGUAGUGGGGGAUAACGUCCGGAAACGGGCGCUAAUACCGCAUACGUCCUGAGGGAGAAAGUGGGGGAUCUUCGGACCUCACGCUAUCAGAUGAGCCUAGGUCGGAUUAGCUAGUUGGUGGGGUAAAGGCCUACCAAGGCGACGAUCCGUAACUGGUCUGAGAGGAUGAUCAGUCACACUGGAACUGAGACACGGUCCAGACUCCUACGGGAGGCAGCAGUGGGGAAUAUUGGACAAUGGGCGAAAGCCUGAUCCAGCCAUGCCGCGUGUGUAAAGAAGGUCUUCGGAUUGUAAAGCACUUAAGUUGGGAGGAAGGGCAGUAAGUUAAUACCUUGCUGUUUUGACGUUACCAACAGAAUAAGCACCGGCUAACUUCGUG